UAGGGAAUCUUCGGCAAUGGGGGGAACCCUGACCGAGCAACGCCGCGUGAGUGAAGAAGGUUUUCGGAUCGUAAAGCUCUGUUGUUAAGGAAGAACGAGUGUGAGAAUGGAAAGUUCAUGCUGUGACGGUACUUAACCAGAAAGGGACGGCUAACUACGUGCCAGCAGCCGCGGUAAUACGUAGGUCCCGAGCGUUGUCCGGAAUCACUGGGCGUAAAGGGUUCGCAGGCGGAAUAACAAGUCAGAUGUGAAAGGCAUGGGCUCAACCCAUGUAAGCAUUUGAAACUGUAAUUCUUGAGAAGUGGAGAGGUAAGUGGAAUUCCUAGUGUAGCGGUGAAAUGCGUAGAUAUUAGGAGGAAUACCUGUGGCGAAGGCGACUUACUGGACACAAAUCUGACGCUGAGGAACGAAAGCGUGGGUAGCAAACAGG
RNAcentral lists this ribosomal RNA (430 nucleotides) under Bacteroidota bacterium. RNAcentral's name for it is "Bacteroidetes bacterium partial 16S ribosomal RNA". It matches the Rfam family "Bacterial small subunit ribosomal RNA", at positions 355 to 776 of the family's 1533-position model. The record is from RNAcentral. Lineage: Bacteria; Pseudomonadati; Bacteroidota. RNAcentral also lists the same sequence under 1 other name.